CUAACAUAUGCAAGUCGAGCGGCAGCGAGGUUAGUAGCAAUACUAACUGUCGGCGAGCGGCGGACGGGUGAGGAACACGUAGGAACUUGCCCAAAAGAGGGGGACAACCAAGGGAAACUUUGGCUAAUACCGCAUAAACUCGGAAGAGGAAAGGUGCCCGCAAGGGUGUCGCUUUUGGAGAGGCCUGCGUCCGAUUAGCUCGUUGGUAGGGUAAAAGCCUACCAAGGCGAUGAUCGGUAACUGGUCCGAGAGGACGACCAGUCACACUGGGACUGAGACACGGCCCAGACUCCUACGGGAGGCAGCAGUGGGGAAUAUUGGACAAUGGGGGCAACCCUGAUCCAGCGACGCCGCGUGGGUGAAGAAGGCCUCCGGGUUGUAAAGCCCUUUAGGUUGGGAAGAAGUGUAUGGGAGGAAUAUACCUGUACAUUGACGGUACCGACAGAAUAAGCACCGGCAAACUCUGUGCCAGCAGCCGCGGUAA
RNAcentral lists this ribosomal RNA (484 nucleotides) under uncultured bacterium. RNAcentral describes it as "partial 16S ribosomal RNA". It matches the Rfam family "Bacterial small subunit ribosomal RNA", at positions 48 to 523 of the family's 1533-position model. The record is from RNAcentral.